RNAcentral lists this ribosomal RNA (393 nucleotides) under uncultured bacterium. Its description in RNAcentral is "partial 16S ribosomal RNA". It matches the Rfam family "Bacterial small subunit ribosomal RNA", at positions 523 to 918 of the family's 1533-position model. The record is from RNAcentral.
AUACGGAAGGUCCGGGCGUUAUCCGGAUUUAUUGGGUUUAAAGGGAGCGCAGGCGGAGAUGCAAGCGUGACGUCAAAUUUCGGGGCUCAACCCCGUCUCGCGUCGCGAACUGCGUCCCUUGGUUGCGGGAAGGGGAGGCGGAACUCGUGGGGUAGCGGUGAAAUGCAUAGAUAUCACGAAGAACUCCGAUCGCGAAGGCAGCCUUCCGGCCCGUCAACGACGCUCAUGCUCGAAGGUGCGGGUAUCAAACAGGAUUAGAUACCCUGGUAGUCCGCACAGUAAACGAUGGACACCCGCGGUUUGGCCUGUAUGGCUGAGCCGCCAAGCGAAAGCGUUAAGUGUCCCACCUGGGGAGUACGCCGGCAACGGUGAAACUCAAAUGAAUUGGCGGGG